This 255-nucleotide ribosomal RNA is filed under the name uncultured bacterium. Its description in RNAcentral is "partial 16S ribosomal RNA". It matches the Rfam family "Bacterial small subunit ribosomal RNA", at positions 524 to 776 of the family's 1533-position model. The record is from RNAcentral.
UACGUAGGUGGCAAGCGUUGUCCGGAAUUAUUGGGCGUAAAGCGCGCGCAGGCGGUCCUUUAAGUCUGAUGUGAAAGCCCACGGCUCAACCGUGGAGGGUCAUUGGAAACUGGGGGACUUGAGUGCAGGAGAGAAGAGUGGAAUUCCACGUGUAGCGGUGAAAAUGCGUAGAGAUGUGGAGGAACACCAGUGGCGAAGGCGACUCUUUGGCCUGUAACUGACGCUGAGGCGCGGAAAGCGUGGGGAGCAAACAGG